Molecule: ribosomal RNA, 301 nt
Filed under: uncultured bacterium
Lineage: Bacteria
Description: partial 16S ribosomal RNA
Rfam family: Bacterial small subunit ribosomal RNA
Source: RNAcentral
CAGCCGCCACGGGAAUACGAGGGGGGCAAGCGUUGUUCGGAAUUAUUGGGCGUAAAGGGUGCGUAGGCGGCUUGACAAGUCUUGUGUGAAAUCUAUGGGCUCAACCCAUAGUCUGCACGGGAAACUGUCGGGCUUGAGAAUGGGAGAGGUGAGUGGAAUUUCCGGUGUAGCGGUGAAAUGCGUAGAUAUCGGAAGGAACACCUGUGGCGAAAGCGGCUCACUGGACCAUUUCUGACGCUGAUGCACGAAAGCUAGGGGAGCAAACAGGAUUAGAUACCCGCGUAGUCCCUGUCUCUUAUAA